AUGAUGUCCUCACUCCCAUCUUUAGCUGCGUUUGAUCCAAAAAAAACAAGAAACGAUCAAGAAAUGAAAGAAGCGUUUGAUAGUCUUAGCAAAUCUGAGCUUUUUGCAAGGAUCCCACAGAGUCUCGAUGAUCGUAAGUUGUCUAUAUCAACUGCAGAUCUGGUAGAGAAGCAUUCGUCGAAGCGGCACAGGGAGCCUAGUCCGCAAGUAAAUGACAAAAGCAGUUCCAAAAAAAUAAAGGACUCCCCCAUAUCAAUUCCAGUUCCACCCUCUAAAAAGUUCAUGAUGGAAAGUCAAAACCUUCAAAUGGACUUGCCUUCCAAAGACAAGUCCCCGAGCUACAGCAGUAGUAGUGCUAAUGAGCAACCUUCCUUGACAAUUACAUCAACUGAAGAGCAAUCAAGAAAAUCUAUGAAAGAGAGCAAAUUAGGAGCGCUGAUCAGUCAAGUGACAGUAGUACCGGCAGUAGAGAUAACUGUUGCCUCCACAUUCCCUUCAAAACGAGGAACCACGUCACCGGUCCCUAUUUCGGUUCCUGCUUCGUCCUUAUCGCCAAAGCAUCCUUCAUCUCCACUGCAAAUUCCUUUAGUUUCUGCAGUCCCCAUCUCUGAACCCUCUGCUCAAUCACCCGCUCCCUCCCCCCCUCCCGUCUUAGUGCCUAACGAGCCACUGAAAGCCCCAACUCCUGCCCCAGAGCCAGUUGUGUUAUCAACCUCUAUCCUCGAAGGAACAUCGGAGAGUUUGCCCAUUGUAGAAGUUGAACAAGCUUCAGAAUUAGAAUCAAAAGUCGAAAUUAUGAUCAACAAACCGCAAGACAGCAGCAAUGAGGACCAACUCUCAGCGCCAAACAAGGCAGACACCUCCUCUGAGACACUAAAUAAAGAGGAGGCAGUACCUGAAGAAGAAACAAUGCCAGCCAAAAAACGUAGACCCAGAUCAAAAAAGCCAGUUCCCAUCCUAAAUGAUCCUGAAUUAGCCGUAGAAAGGAAAAAUUUGAGAUCAUCAGCCAGUAGAUCAGCAGCAGCUGCAGCUGCUCGAGCGGCAAGAGCAGCAGCGUUACAGCAGCAAGCAGAACAGGAAAAUGCAUCAGCUCAAGAAGAUGAGGCGUAA
Molecule: long non-coding RNA, 1110 nt
Filed under: Bemisia tabaci
Lineage: Eukaryota; Metazoa; Arthropoda; Insecta; Hemiptera; Aleyrodidae
Description: lncRNA ENSASIAIIG010055
Source: RNAcentral